This 568-nucleotide ribosomal RNA is filed under the name uncultured bacterium. Its description in RNAcentral is "bacterial SSU rRNA". It matches the Rfam family "Bacterial small subunit ribosomal RNA", at positions 338 to 916 of the family's 1533-position model. The record is from RNAcentral.
CCUACGGGAGGCAGCAGUGGGGAAUAUUGCACAAUGGGCGAAAGCCUGAUGCAGCGACGCCGCGUGAGGGAUGACGGCCUUCGGGUUGUAAACCUCUUUCAGCAGGGAAGAAGCGAAAGUGACGGUACCUGCAGAGGAAGCGCCGGCUAACUACGUGCCAGCAGCCGCGGUAAUACGUAGGGCGCAAGCGUUGUCCGGAAUUAUUGGGCGUAAAGAGCUCGUAGGCGGCUUGUCACGUCGGGUGUGAAAGCCCGGGGCUUAACCCCGGGUCUGCAUUCGAUACGGGCUAGCUAGAGUGUGGUAGGGGAGAUCGGAAUUCCUGGUGUAGCGGUGAAAUGCGCAGAUAUCAGGAGGAACACCGGUGGCGAAGGCGGAUCUCUGGGCCAUUACUGACGCUGAGGAGCGAAAGCGUGGGGAGCGAACAGGAUUAGAUACCCUGGUAGUCCACGCCGUAAACGGUGGGAACUAGGUGUUGGCGACAUUCCACGUCGUCGGUGCCGCAGCUAACGCAUUAAGUUCCCCGCCUGGGGAGUACGGCCGCAAGGCUAAAACUCAAAGGAAUUGACGG